CCUACGGGGUGCUGCAGUGGGGAAUAUUGGACAAUGGGCGAAAGCCUGAUCCAGCCAUGCCGCGUGUGUGAAGAAGGCCUUCGGGUUGUAAAGCACUUUCAGUGGGGAAGAAAGCCUUGGGGCUAAUACCCUCGAGGAAGGACAUCACCCACAGAAGAAGCACCGGCUAACUCCGUGCCAGCAGCCGCGGUAAUACGGAGGGUGCGAGCGUUAAUCGGAAUUACUGGGCGUAAAGCGCGCGUAGGCGGUCUGAUAAGCCGGUUGUGAAAGCCCCGGGCUCAACCUGGGAACGGCAUCCGGAACUGUCAGGCUAGAGUGAAGGAGAGGAAGGUAGAAUUCCCGGUGUAGCGGUGAAAUGCGUAGAGAUCGGGAGGAAUACCAGUGGCGAAGGCGGCCUUCUGGACUGACACUGACGCUGAGGUGCGAAAGCGUGGGUAGCAAACAGGAUUAGAUACCCUAGUAGUC
RNAcentral lists this ribosomal RNA (465 nucleotides) under Vreelandella stevensii. RNAcentral's name for it is "partial 16S ribosomal RNA". It matches the Rfam family "Bacterial small subunit ribosomal RNA", at positions 338 to 795 of the family's 1533-position model. The record is from RNAcentral. Lineage: Bacteria; Pseudomonadati; Pseudomonadota; Gammaproteobacteria; Oceanospirillales; Halomonadaceae.